GAAUUACUACAAUUCUGAAUUAGGAGAUAAUCAAAUGUUCAAAUGGCCAGUGUUUUCCUGUAGAGAAAACAAAAAAAUCUCCUUACUUUAACAAGGUACUGGGGAACUUGGAAAUACAACUAAAAUCUGGGAAUUCAGUAUGCCUUAUUUUAUAAAAUUUUCCUUUGUUCUUCUCUCAUAGUUUCCAAGCAAAGAAAAAUGAACUAGUUUUACCUUUUCAGGCAUUCCAUGUUCUUUUGCUGAGUACUGUAAACUGUUUUUACUUCUCAUGUGGAAUUCUUGUUCUUCUUCCAAACUACUAACAUCAUCAUCAUCUGAGCUCCCAGGGUCUGCGAGAGAUUUACAGUCCUGACCAAAACUUUGUGGCUUUUGAUAGCUAUGCUCACUUGUUAUAUAAGUUCCUUCCAUUUUUAGGGGCAAACGAGGUGGUUCUUUAUGGUUCUGUACAUAUUUCUUUUCUUCUCGAUUAACUGUGUCUUGAGCUAUUUUUUUCUCCACCCCAGCUAUUAUUUGAUCUUGGUCUUUUCGCUUCCCGGAACAAGCCCAGAGAUGAAGGUCAGGAUGAUGUUUAUUCCUUAAAACAAAGUUGGAAAAACAGCAGUUCAGAAAAAAAAAAAAAUCUAUUAACAAGCUGAAUACAAUGAUCUAUUUCAGAAUUAGGUUAGGAGGACAUCUAGGACUCAAGACAAAAGCAAAGAUGAAGUUGAUAUUAAAUCACAGAGGACUGCACUUACUCGGAUUUUUCAUCAACUGCUAACCUACUAACGUUGCUCAUUAAGCAAGGCAAGCUCUAGCACUAGGAGCAGAUUCAAAAAGAGUAAGACAGCGUUCUGAGGAACUGGUGCAGGAAGAGCUCCUCCACACCUUCAGCGUUCCUGCCCACCCAGGAGAAGAAACACCAUUAAGGACAUGUCAUGGGACCAAUUCACCACAUGCCUAUUAUUUGAGAAAACCUAGUUAUUUCCUGCCUGGAGGCUGAAGUUAAAUUCAAUAUGCAGAAUAUGCUAUCUGAAGAUCCUCUAGCAUAGAAGAAGGCACCAAGUAGACAGCAUGGUGGAUUGAGAGUCAAAAGGCAUAGAUUUCAUCUCAGUCUGCCUCAUCAGUAAAAUAAAGGCAUCACAGGUAGUGUUCUAAGACCCCACCUGCUCUACAAUGAGUCGAAUAUGCAGAACUGCCAGGUCAGUAGCAUGCAAGUUCAUAAUGCAGAUCUACUCCGAUUGCCACAAAUAAGCCUAGCUAGAAAUGGAUACAGAGGAACAGAGGCUAAUUAAUUCUUCUCCAGGAAAAAGUCACACCUCUUCCCUUCCAGUAGGAUAGUAAUUUUGUUGAUAAAUAUAUGCUAAUGUAUUUGUCUAAGUAAUCAAUGUGGAAAAUAAAAAUGUAACAGUGAAAAAAUAUUUUAAAAUUUUA
RNAcentral lists this long non-coding RNA (1410 nucleotides) under Homo sapiens (human). Its description in RNAcentral is "PREDICTED lncRNA (TCONS_00257986)". Lineage: Eukaryota; Metazoa; Chordata; Mammalia; Primates; Hominidae. The record is from RNAcentral.